RNAcentral lists this ribosomal RNA (376 nucleotides) under uncultured organism. RNAcentral describes it as "bacterial SSU rRNA". It matches the Rfam family "Archaeal small subunit ribosomal RNA", at positions 476 to 851 of the family's 1478-position model. The record is from RNAcentral.
CCAGCACCCCGAGUUGUCGGGACGAUUAUUGGGUCUAAAGCAUCCGUAGCCUGUUCUGCAAGUCCUCCGUUAAAUCCACCUGCUUAACGGAUGGGCUGCGGGGGAUACUGCAGAGCUAGGAGGCGGGAGAGGCAAACGGUACUCAGUGGGUAGGGGUAAAAAUCCUUUGAUCUACUGAAGACCACCAGUGGCGAAGGCGGUUUGCCAGAACGCGCUCGACGGUGAGGGAUGAAAGCUGGGGGAGCAAACCGGAUUAGAUACCCGGGUAGUCCCAGCUGUAAACGAUGCAGACUCGGUGAUGGGUUGGCCUCGAGCCAACCCAGUGCCGCAGGGAAGCCGUUAAGUCUGCCGCCUGGGGAGUACGGUCGCAAGACUG